AACAACGAUAUUGGUACUAUGUUACAUUGAGCGUAAUGUGUAUGUAUGUGCAUUUAUGCUAGUGAUAUCAUUACUAUCAUCGUUGAUGUUGGUGGUUUUCAAUGGGUAUCGUUGAGAAUCGUGAAUUGGAGAACAUCGUUGACGAUGAAUGACAACGACACGUGGUUGGUUUUGAGUAAUGAUGAUGACUAAAUACACUAGGCAUAUUGCGAGUAGCACGUGAAGGCAGUUCACAUUGCAUGUAAUUCUUGCAAAUGCAACCUGAACUCGGAUGUGAUUACCCGCUGAACUUAAGCAUAUCAUUUAGCGGAGGAAAAGAAACUAA
This 325-nucleotide ribosomal RNA is filed under the name Aelurostrongylus abstrusus (cat lungworm). RNAcentral describes it as "eukaryotic LSU rRNA". The stretch from base 258 to 325 matches the Rfam family "Eukaryotic large subunit ribosomal RNA", at positions 1 to 68 of the family's 3401-position model. The record is from RNAcentral. Lineage: Eukaryota; Metazoa; Nematoda; Chromadorea; Rhabditida; Metastrongylidae.